UCCUUGUUACUAUAGUGGUCAGUAUUUCUGCCUGUCGCACAGAAGACCAGGGUUUGAUUCCCUGACAGAGAG
Molecule: non-coding RNA, 72 nt
Organism: Pangasius djambal
Lineage: Eukaryota; Metazoa; Chordata; Actinopteri; Siluriformes; Pangasiidae
Source: the annotation of a GenBank genome assembly